RNAcentral lists this ribosomal RNA (253 nucleotides) under uncultured bacterium. RNAcentral describes it as "partial 16S ribosomal RNA". It matches the Rfam family "Bacterial small subunit ribosomal RNA", at positions 524 to 776 of the family's 1533-position model. The record is from RNAcentral.
UACGUAGGUGGCAAGCGUUGUCCGGAAUUAUUGGGCGUAAAGCGCGCGCAGGCGGUUCUUUAAGUCUGAUGUGAAAGCCCACGGCUCAACCGUGGAGGGUCAUUGGAAACUGGAGAACUUGAGUACAGAAGAGGAAAGCGGAAUUCCACGUGUAGCGGUGAAAUGCGUAGAGAUGUGGAGGAACACCAGUGGCGAAGGCGACACGCUGGGCCGUACCUGACACUGAUGCGCGACAGCAUGGGGAGCAAACAGG